Molecule: long non-coding RNA, 198 nt
Organism: Macadamia integrifolia
Lineage: Eukaryota; Viridiplantae; Streptophyta; Magnoliopsida; Proteales; Proteaceae
Exons: 4
Source: RefSeq, a predicted model, not a curated record
CAAUGGGGUUCAAAACUCAUAUCCGUAAUUAUGAGGGUAGAAGGUCUUCAACGAAUAAGGCUUCACAUUUCUCUAUUAUUUUGGAAGUUUUUGAAGCAGCUCCCUCUUUUUUCAUGGUGGACAUUUAUAAGGCGAUUCAGUUGAAUUCCUCAAGGUAUGUGAUUUUGGCUUGGAAUUGUUGCAGAAAGGGACUUCUGG